AGUGGCGGACGGGUGAGUAACGCGUGAAAAUCUGCCUUGGGGUCGGGGACAACCACUGGAAACGGUGGCUAAUACCGGAUAAGCCGAUUGGUGAAAGAUUUAUUGCCCGAAGAGGAGCUCGCGUCUGAUUAGCUAGUUGGUGAGGUAAGAGCUCACCAAGGCAGCGAUCAGUAGCUGGUCUGAGAGGACGAUCAGCCACACUGGGACUGAGACACGGCCCAGACUCCUACGGGAGGCAGCAGUGGGGAAUUUUCCGCAAUGGGCGAAAGCCUGACGGAGCAAGACCGCGUGAGGGAGGAAGGCUCUUGGGUUGUAAACCUCUUUUCUCAGGGAAGAAGCUCUGACGGUACCUGAGGAAUCAGCCUCGGCUAACUCCGUGCCAGCAGCCGCGGUAAUACGGAGGAGGCAAGCGUUAUCCGGAAUUAUUGGGCGUAAAGCGUCCGCAGGUGGCGAUUCAAGUCUGCUGUCAAAGCACGGGGCUUAACUCCGUAAAGGCAGUGGAAACUGAAUAGCUAGAGUGCCGUAGGGGUAGAGGGAAUUCCCGGUGUAGCGGUGAAAUGCGUAGAGAUCGGGAAGAACAUCGGUGGCGAAAGCGCUCUACUGGACGGCAACUGACACUCAGGGACGAAAGCUAGGGGAGCGAAUGGGAUUAGAUACCCC
This 660-nucleotide ribosomal RNA is filed under the name uncultured bacterium. Its description in RNAcentral is "bacterial SSU rRNA". It matches the Rfam family "Bacterial small subunit ribosomal RNA", at positions 94 to 788 of the family's 1533-position model. The record is from RNAcentral.